Molecule: ribosomal RNA, 181 nt
Filed under: uncultured Frigoribacterium sp.
Lineage: Bacteria; Bacillati; Actinomycetota; Actinomycetes; Micrococcales; Microbacteriaceae
Description: partial 16S ribosomal RNA
Rfam family: Bacterial small subunit ribosomal RNA
Source: RNAcentral
CCUACGGGAGGCAGCAGUGGGGAAUAUUGCACAAUGGGCGAAAGCCUGAUGCAGCAACGCCGCGUGAGGGACGACGGCCUUCGGGUUGUAAACCUCUUUUAGUAGGGAAGAAGCGAAAGUGACGGUACCUGCAGAAAAAGCACCGGCUAACUACGUGCCAGCAGCCGCGGUAAUACGUAGG